AUCACGUUAGUAUAAGCAGUACACCUGCCUUCCAAGCAGAAAGUCUGGGGACAGACGGGAUU
Molecule: transfer RNA, 62 nt
Filed under: Platynereis sp. 1 PA-2020
Lineage: Eukaryota; Metazoa; Annelida; Polychaeta; Phyllodocida; Nereididae
Description: tRNA-Gly
Source: RNAcentral